UGGGGAAUUUUGGACAAUGGGCGAAAGCCUGAUCCAGCAAUGCCGCGUGUGUGAAGAAGGCCUUCGGGUUGUAAAGCACUUUUGUCCGGAAAGAAAUCCUCUGGGUUAAUACCUCGGGGGGAUGACGGUACCGGAAGAAUAAGCACCGGCUAACUACGUGCCAGCAGCCGCGGUAAUACGUAGGGUGCAAGCGUUAAUCGGAAUUACUGGGCGUAAAGCGUGCGCAGGCGGUUUUGUAAGACGGAUGUGAAAUCCCCGGGCUUAACCUGGGAACUGCAUUCGUGACUGCAAGGCUAGAGUAUGGCAGAGGGGGGUAGAAUUCCACGUGUAGCAGUGAAAUGCGUNGAGAUGUGGAGGAAUACCGAUGGCGAAGGCAGCCCCCUGGGCCAAUACUGACGCUCAUGCACGAAAGCGUGGGGAGCAAACAGGAUUAGAUACCCUGGUAGUCCACGCCCUAAACGAUGUCAACUAGUUGUUGGGGAUUCAUUUCCUUAGUAACGUAGCUAACGCGUGAAGUUGACCGCCUGGGGAGUACGGUCGCAAGAUUAAAACUCAAAUGAAUUGAC
This 566-nucleotide ribosomal RNA is filed under the name uncultured bacterium. RNAcentral describes it as "partial 16S ribosomal RNA". It matches the Rfam family "Bacterial small subunit ribosomal RNA", at positions 355 to 914 of the family's 1533-position model. The record is from RNAcentral.